This 225-nucleotide long non-coding RNA is filed under the name Helicoverpa zea (corn earworm). RNAcentral describes it as "uncharacterized LOC124642338, transcript variant X2". Lineage: Eukaryota; Metazoa; Arthropoda; Insecta; Lepidoptera; Noctuidae. The record is from RNAcentral.
UUUCCACAGGAGAUGCACAUUUAGGCAUUCAGCCGUUUCCGGUAAGAAAUUCAGAAAUGCAAUUGGAAAAUGAUACGCCGUCUCCAUCACCCGAAGCACAACCUAUAUACAAUACUAAUGAUGACAACAUUAAUGUACCACAACAACAGCAGAGUCAGGCACGGCCUACUGAGGAAUCAGCAGCUAUUGUAUUUUAUGUAAGCUAUUUUGUACUAAAUAUGUCUG